This 77-nucleotide transfer RNA is filed under the name Alphaproteobacteria bacterium. RNAcentral describes it as "tRNA-Asp". It matches the Rfam family "tRNA". Rfam says of the family: Transfer RNA (tRNA) molecules are approximately 80 nucleotides in length. The record is from RNAcentral. Lineage: Bacteria; Pseudomonadati; Pseudomonadota; Alphaproteobacteria.
GCGGGUGUAGCUCAGCUGGUUAGAGCGCCGGCCUGUCACGCCGGAGGCCGCGGGUUCAAGUCCCGUCACUCGCGCCA